GUUGAAACACCGGUUCUCAUAUGAUCACCAAAGUUAAGCAACAUCAAGCCUGGUUAGUACCUAGAUUGGUAAUCACUUGGGAAUACCAGGU
Molecule: non-coding RNA, 91 nt
Organism: Acanthosepion pharaonis
Lineage: Eukaryota; Metazoa; Mollusca; Cephalopoda; Sepiida; Sepiidae
Source: the annotation of a GenBank genome assembly